GAUGAACGCUGGCGGCAUGCCUAAUACAUGCAAGUCGAACGAGAGGAAGGAAAGCUUGCUUUCCUGAAUCUAGUGGCGAACGGGUGAGUAACACGUAGGUAACCUGCCCAUGUGCCCGGGAUAACUUCUGGAAACGGAUGCUAAAACCGGAUAGGUAGCAGACAAGCAUUUGACUGCUAUUAAAGUGGCCUUGGCCAUGAACAUGGAUGGACCUGCGGUGCAUUUGCUAGUUGGUGAGGUAACGGCCCACCAAGGCGACGAUGCAUAGCCGGCCUGAGAGGGCGGACGGCCACAUUGGGACUGAGACACGGCCCAAACUCCUACGGGAGGCAGCAGUAGGGAAUUUCCGCCAAUGGGGGGAACCCUGAACGAGCAAUGCCGCGUGAGUGAGGAAGGUCUUCGGAUCGUAAAGCUCUGUUGUAAGAGAAAAACGGCACUCAUAGGGAAUGAUGAGUGAGUGAUGGUAUCUUACCAGAAAGUCACGGCUAACUACGUGCCAGCCGCCGCUGUAA
This 512-nucleotide ribosomal RNA is filed under the name uncultured bacterium. RNAcentral's name for it is "partial 16S ribosomal RNA". It matches the Rfam family "Bacterial small subunit ribosomal RNA", at positions 28 to 523 of the family's 1533-position model. The record is from RNAcentral.